Molecule: ribosomal RNA, 492 nt
Filed under: uncultured bacterium
Lineage: Bacteria
Description: partial 16S ribosomal RNA
Rfam family: Bacterial small subunit ribosomal RNA
Source: RNAcentral
AGUGAACGCUGGCGGUAGGCCUAACACAUGCAAGUCGAACGGCAGCACAGUAAGAGCUUGCUCUUACGGGUGGCGAGUGGCGGACGAGUGAGGAAUACAUCGGAAUCUACUUUUUCGUGGGGGAUAACGUAGGGAAACUUACGCUAAUACCGCAUACGACCUACGGGUGAAAGCAGGGGAUCUUCGGACCUUGCGCGAUUGAAUGAGCCGAUGUCGGAUUAGCUAGUUGGCGGGGUAAAGGCCCACCAAGGCGACGAUCCGUAGCUGGUCUGAGAGAAUGAUCGGCCACACUGGAACGGAGACACGGUCCAGACUCCUACGGGAGGCAGCAGUGGGGAAUAUUGGACAAUGGGCGCAAGCCUGAUCCAGCCAGACCGCGUGGGUGAAGAAGGCCUUCGGGUUGUAAAGCCCUUUUGUUGGGAAAGAAAAGCAGCAGGUUAAUACCCCGCUGUUCUGACGGUACCCAAAGAAUAAGCACCGGCUAACUUCGUG